CGGCGGACGGGUGAGUAAUGCCUAGGAAUCUGCCUGGUAUGGGGGACAACGUUUCGAAAGGAACGCUAAUACCGCAUACGACCUACGGGUGAAAGCAGGGGAUCUUCGGACCUUGCGCGAUUGAAUGAGCCGAUGUCGGAUUAGCUAGUUGGCGGGGUAAAGGCCCACCAAGGCGACGAUCCGUAGCUGGUCUGAGAGGAUGAUCAGCCACACUGGAACUGAGACACGGUCCAGACUCCUACGGGAGGCAGCAGAC
This 256-nucleotide ribosomal RNA is filed under the name uncultured Stenotrophomonas sp. Its description in RNAcentral is "partial 16S ribosomal RNA". It matches the Rfam family "Bacterial small subunit ribosomal RNA", at positions 96 to 354 of the family's 1533-position model. Lineage: Bacteria; Pseudomonadati; Pseudomonadota; Gammaproteobacteria; Lysobacterales; Lysobacteraceae. The record is from RNAcentral.